This 484-nucleotide ribosomal RNA is filed under the name uncultured bacterium. RNAcentral's name for it is "partial 16S ribosomal RNA". It matches the Rfam family "Bacterial small subunit ribosomal RNA", at positions 30 to 507 of the family's 1533-position model. The record is from RNAcentral.
AUUGAACGCUGGCGGCAGGCCUAACACAUGCAGGUCGAGCGGAUGAAGGGAGCUUGCUCCUGGAUUCAGCGGCGGACGGGUGAGUAAUGCCUAGGAAUCUGCCUGGUAGUGGGGGAUAACGUCCGGAAACGGGCGCUAAUACCGCAUACGUCCUGAGGGAGAAAGUGGGGGAUCUUCGGACCUCACGCUAUCAGAUGAGCCUAGGUCGGAUUAGCUAGUUGGUGGGGUAAAGGCCUACCAAGGCGACGAUCCGUAACUGGUCUGAGAGGAUGAUCAGUCACACUGGAACUGAGACACGGUCCAGACUCCUACGGGAGGCAGCAGUGGGGAAUAUUGGACAAUGGGCGAAAGCCUGAUCCAGCCAUGCCGCGUGUGUGAAGAAGGUCUUCGGAUUGCAAAGCACUUUAAGUUGGGAGGAAGGGCAGUAAGUUAAUACCUUGCUGUUUUGACGUUACCAACAGAAUAAGCACCGGCUAACUUCGUG